This 245-nucleotide ribosomal RNA is filed under the name uncultured bacterium. Its description in RNAcentral is "partial 16S ribosomal RNA". It matches the Rfam family "Bacterial small subunit ribosomal RNA", at positions 524 to 768 of the family's 1533-position model. The record is from RNAcentral.
UACGUAGGAGGCGAGCGUUAUCCGGAUUUAUUGGGCGUAAAGAGCGCGCAGGCGGUCUUGCAAGUCGGAUGUAAAAUCUCCUGGCUCAACUGGGAGGGGCCAUUCGAAACUGCUAGACUUGAGGGCAGCAGAGGGAGGUGGAAUUCCCGGUGUAGUGGUGAAAUGCGUAGAUAUCGGGAGGAACACCAGUGGCGAAAGCGGCCUCCUGGGCUGUACCUGACGCUGAGGCGCGAAAGCGUGGGGAG